CUUCGGGUAUUGAGGAUGGCGGACGGGUGAGUAACGCGUAAGGAACUUGCCUCUUGGUCUGGGACAACUGUUGGAAACGACAGCUAAUACCGGAUAUUAUGAGAUUCUCGCAUGAGAAACUUAUGAAAGCUAUAUGCGCCAAGAGAGAGCCUUGCGUUCCAUUAGCUAGUUGGUGGGGUAACGGCCCACCAAGGCGACGAUGGAUAGCCGGCCUGAGAGGGUGAACGGCCACAAGGGGACUGAGACACGGCCCUUACUCCUACGGGAGGCAGCAGUGGGGAAUAUUGGACAAUGGACCAAAAGUCUGAUCCAGCAAUUCUGUGUGCACGAUGAAGGUCUUCGGAUUGUAAAGUGCUUUCAGUUGGGAAGAAGCAAGUGACGGUACCAACAGAAGAAGCGACGGCUAAAUACGUGCCAGCAGCCGCGGUAAUACGUAUGUCGCAAGCGUUAUCCGGAUUUAUUGGGCGUAAAGCGCGUCUAGGCGGAAAAAUAAGUCUGAUGUUAAAAUGCGGGGCUCAACUCCGUAUUGCGUUGGAAACUGUUUUUCUAGAGUACUGGAGAGGUGGGCGGAACUACAAGUGUAGAGGUGAAAUUCGUAGAUAUUUGUAGGAAUGCCGAUGGAGAAGUCAGCUCACUGGACAGAUACUGACGCUAAAGCGCGAAAGCGUG
This 669-nucleotide ribosomal RNA is filed under the name uncultured bacterium. RNAcentral's name for it is "bacterial SSU rRNA". It matches the Rfam family "Bacterial small subunit ribosomal RNA", at positions 78 to 763 of the family's 1533-position model. The record is from RNAcentral.